RNAcentral lists this small nuclear RNA (63 nucleotides) under Salvator merianae (Argentine black and white tegu). The record is from RNAcentral. Lineage: Eukaryota; Metazoa; Chordata; Lepidosauria; Squamata; Teiidae.
GUGCUCACUUCAGCAGCACAUAUACAAAAAUUGGAAUGAUCCAGAGAAGAUUAGCAUGGCCCC